GGUGGCUCAGUGGUAGAGCACUUGCUUUGCAAGCAUGAGGCCCUGGGUUCGAUUCCUCAGCACCA
RNAcentral lists this transfer RNA (65 nucleotides) under Dipodomys ordii (Ord's kangaroo rat). It matches the Rfam family "tRNA". Rfam says of the family: Transfer RNA (tRNA) molecules are approximately 80 nucleotides in length. Their secondary structure includes four short double-helical elements and three loops (D, anti-codon, and T loops). Further hydrogen bonds mediate the characteristic L-shaped molecular structure. tRNAs have two regions of fundamental functional importance: the anti-codon, which is responsible for specific mRNA codon recognition, and the 3' end, to which the tRNAs corresponding amino acid is attached (by aminoacyl-tRNA synthetases). tRNAs cope with the degeneracy of the genetic code in two manners: having more than one tRNA (with a specific anti-codon) for a particular amino acid; and 'wobble' base-pairing, i.e. permitting non-standard base-pairing at the 3rd anti-codon position. The record is from Rfam by way of RNAcentral. Lineage: Eukaryota; Metazoa; Chordata; Mammalia; Rodentia; Heteromyidae.